RNAcentral lists this ribosomal RNA (468 nucleotides) under uncultured bacterium. RNAcentral's name for it is "partial 16S ribosomal RNA". It matches the Rfam family "Bacterial small subunit ribosomal RNA", at positions 28 to 507 of the family's 1533-position model. The record is from RNAcentral.
GACGAACGCUGGCGGCGUGCUUAACACAUGCAAGUCGAACGGAAAGGCCCUGCUUUUGUGGGGUGCUCGAGUGGCGAACGGGUGAGUAACACGUGAGUAACCUGCCCUUGACUUUGGGAUAACUUCAGGAAACUGGGGCUAAUACCGGAUAGGAGCUCCUUCUGCAUGGUGUGGGUUGGAAAGUUUCGGCGGUUGGGGAUGGACUCGCGGCUUAUCAGCUUGUUGGUGGGGUAGUGGCUUACCAAGGCUUUGACGGGUAGCCGGCCUGAGAGGGUGACCGGCCACAGUGGGACUGAGAUACGGCCCAGACUCCUACGGGAGGCAGCAGUGGGGAAUAUUGCACAAUGGGCGGAAGCCUGAUGCAGCAACGCCGCGUGCGGGAUGACGGCCUUCGGGUGGUAAACCGCUUUCGCCUGUGACGAAGCGUGAGUGACGGUAAUGGGUAAAGAAGCACCGGCUAACUACGUG